AUGCUAAUGAGGUGCGGGGAGACAGGUGGCCUGCUAGACAGCUCAAUUAAGCAGCUUGUUAAAGGCCAAGCUAACGAAGCGGCCUGCACUGCAAGCCUUAACAAACAGUGUGACUGUGCAGGCUACAAAUUGUUGGAGGGAAGAUUAGCAGGAUUAAGACUGGCUCACAUAUGCUGCUCUUCACUACUGGCAUUCAUCACAACACAAGCCCAACUGCCACCCAGACGGGGAGAGAAAGAGAAAGAAAAAGAGUGAGAGUGAAAGUUUUUCUCUGAUAUUAAAGCAUUGCUACACUAAAUCAAAGCUGUUUGGAAUAAUUUUGGAAGAAAAAAAAGGCUGAUUAGUGAGAAAGGGACAGAGAAAAAAAUGUUGGAUUGUGAGAGGGUUAUGGAAGAGGAUGCAAAAGCAUUUAUGAUGGAAAAUAGCUAAAGAGGUGUAGGACAUACAGUGUGGUCAAAAAGUAUUUAUUUAUUUAUUUUUACUAAAAAAAAGUUGUGGGAUUUUGAUAAUUGUUGAAAAAAAUAUGAUGAAAAGGUUAAUACUGAGUACUCUCCAAUCCAUUUUAAGCAAGAUUGUGACACUGAUCAUGUAAAUUUUACUGGAUAACCUGAUUGUCAGCUAUUUUCAUUUUUAAAAAACUUUAAUGUACCUUUUUAUUGCUUUGUGUUGUUUUACCUUGGCAUGAAAACUUAAGGCUGCUUUGUGGGUUUUUUAUGACUAAGGGAGUGACAGCAAAUUUGGCUAAAAGCAUCUGCUAAAUACAUGAAUGUACCCCUUUUGGUCAUAUAAACAAGCAAGUAGGAAUGUAAAAAAUAUUUGUUGUGGUUUCCAUUUACCACUAUAGAAGAUUGCUCAAUGACAAAUUCUGCUUUUGAGAACCCCGGAAAAAAUUGAAGAUGUCCAUUUUAAAAUGAUUGAAAAACAGAAUCAUUUUCACUAGUGUUUUUAGUGAAUUGUAUUUAUUUUGGAAAUAACUCCCAGUUGGAUUAAUAAAACAGGAUGAGAAAAAAAAUGUCUGACUAAACACCACCUCAGUUUUACAGAACAACAAAAAAUGUUGAAGAUGUAGAAUGUGCCAUGACACGACAGUUAGAUGUAAUGCAUAGAAAGACAUGCUUUCAAGUACUGUAAAACACUGUACUCAUGUUGAGUUUGGGGUUAACCAUGCAAAAAAAAAAUGGUGACACUUAACUCCAGGUGGAUUCAUUAGCUUAAAUAUGACUGCAGUUACAGCUCUGGCUAAUUUAGCUCUUAGGGUUAACAGUUUUCACACAUAUACACACAUCUGCCCACCUCAUUAUUGGAAUGCAUACGCAAACACAUCAUUAUCUCAUAAAGGUAAUGAGAAAAGAAGAGUCUGGCGUUGCCAACCGGCAGAAAUUAGCACUCAGUCUCCCUUCACACUCAUCCAACAGGCUAACAUUCAUUCACCCUGAGGUGGCAAAAGCUCUGCUAUCUUCCUCCCUCUUUCUCUGAGGCAGGCCCUCAUUAAACAAAUAGUCUUGUCUUGUAUUGUCUUGUAACGUCUUGUAUUAUUAUUAUUAUUUUUUAGUUUUUCUAAAAUCCUGUCAAAUGUGCACAAACUACUAGCUACUACUAAAUAUUGUAGAAACAUAAUUUUCUGUAAAGUUGCUUUGUAACGAUUUGUUUUGUAAAAAGCGCUAUACAAAUAAACUUGAAUUGAAUUGAAUUGAAUUGAAAUAGCUUUUAAUUAAAUAAAUGACAUAAAAUGUAUCCAGUUCUGUAUUUUUGUCAUUUCAGCUGAUUAAAUUUUCUGCACCUGAACUGUGAAGUUUGAAUAAGCUGUAAAAUUCUGUGGAACCUGGCAUUUCUCUCUCUCUCUCUCUCUCUCUCUCUCUCUCUCUCUCUCUCUCUCUCUCUCUCUCUGUUUUUAAGCAAAUAUGUGAAAACUCACAGUAUCACUUUGCAUCAGUGUACAUUUUAUGCAUAUUAAAUUUAUUUAAAUAAUUACAAUUGCAGCAGUGACAAGUGGUCCACAAAACUUUAGAAUCAAGGACAUUGCUCAUUAGGCUUUCACGCAGCACUGUAAUCACAUAAGUGGCCAGUGUUCAUGCUGAGAGUCUUGUUUAGGCAGGUCUGUAAAAAAAUUAAUGUACAUCUUUGUCAUUGGCUCAUUGUGAUCUAAAUCAAGAGGUAAUGACGUCAGCCAAACAUGCGCUUAAUUAGCCUUAAUUGGCAACAUUCUCGGCGGACUACAGUUACCAAAGUUUGUUUGAAUCGAGGGCAGACCAACCCCUGUCUUUCUCUUUCUGUAAUUGCUCCCAUGACAGUUGGCAGUCAGUGUGGGUGCGUGUGAAUUUGUGCGCAUUCUUCCCCGGGUGACAUUUUAGAUAAUUAUAUGCGCGAGGAAUAAACUGCAGCUCUGACAAUAGGGUUUUUUCUGUCCCCCCGUUUCUAAUCCAGACAGUCGCGGCAUAUAUUACCAUUUCGCUACACUUAACAAGUGAGAUUACCGGAAUUCAUAAUGAAGGAACUGAACUACAAUUUAUCUCCGACACCGCCGUUUUAAACCAACUCAUUUGCAUAAGCGUAUUUAACGAGAGUAAACAAGCAAACAGACAGACGGGAUCUGUCCGCACGGGGAAAACAACCCAACUACAAGAGCUUAUAGAUGCUUCAAUGAAAAUAUGUUUAAGACCUUGAUCUGGGGAAUUCUCUCACCUGUGGAGUCAGAAGAACAGACACAUGACUAUCUAUCUAUCUAUCUAUCUAUCUAUCUAUCUAUCUAUCUAUCUAUCUAUCUAUCUAUCUAUCUAUCUAUCUAUCUAUCUAUCUAUCUAUCUAUCUAUCUAUCUAUCUAUCUAUAUUAAAAUAGGCUAUGUAGCUAUACAGCCUGCGUUUAUAGAGGCUAUGUCCAAUUAAUUUCCAAAGUAAAAGCGAAAUGUAAUUGCUCAUUUAUGGGCGCUGUGUGUAACCCGCCCGUUUAUGCCCUCCUCUUCUACCCCAAACAAUAACUUCUGUUUGCCCAUAUUGGCCUAAUUGAUUUGUUUCAGAUCAUAACCGUUAAAAGCCAUUUUACACGCCUCGUUUAUUAACGAUUUAAAUGGGCUUAACGGCUGAAAUUAUUAGUCAGCUGUCCUGCGCCCGCAAGGGGUCACCGGGUUAAAACAAUAUGAGCGCAUUCAAACCGCAAAACAGUGUCUGCAACUGACCGCGCUCCAUCCGGCGGGAUAUAUGCACGGUAUAUCACCAAGAAAAUCUUCCGUCGGCAUUUUGCAUCCAUUCUCCAUCACACUAUAGAAAAACUGUCUAUGACCAUCAGCUUCCUGAGCUGCAUUUUUCAAAGCUAAUUAAUUCGUAUGAAUCCAGUGAGAAAUGUUAGCUAAAACUAAUAUGUAAUGUAAG
Molecule: long non-coding RNA, 3366 nt
Filed under: Carassius auratus (goldfish)
Lineage: Eukaryota; Metazoa; Chordata; Actinopteri; Cypriniformes; Cyprinidae
Description: lncRNA (ENSCARG00000070210.1)
Source: RNAcentral